GGGUUGUGAGGUUAAGCGACUAAGCGUACACGGUGGAUGCCCUGGCAGUCAGAGGCGAUGAAGGACGUGCUAAUCUGCGAAAAGCGUCGGUAAGGUGAUAUGAACCGUUAUAACCGGCGAUGUCCGAAUGGGGAAACCCAGUGCAAUUCGUUGCACUAUCGUUAACUGAAUACAUAGGUUAACGAGGCGAACCGGGGGAACUGAAACAUCUAAGUACCCCGAGGAAAAGAAAUCAACCGAGAUUCCCCCAGUAGCGGCGAGCGAACGGGGAGCAGCCCAGAGUCUGAAUCAGCUUGUGUGUUAGUGGAACGGUCUGGAAAGUCCGACGGUACAGGGUGAUAGUCCCGUACACCAAAAUGCACAGGUUGUGAACUCGAAGAGUAGGGCGGGACACGUGGUAUCCUGUCUGAAUAUGGGGGGACCAUCCUCCAAGGCUAAAUACUCCUGACUGACCGAUAGUGAACCAGUACCGUGAGGGAAAGGCGAAAAGAACCCCGGCGAGGGGAGUGAAAAAGAACCUGAAACCGUGUACGUACAAGCAGUGGGAGCACCUUCGGGUGUGACUGCGUACCUUUUGUAUAAUGGGUCAGCGACUUAUAUUCUGUAGCAAGGUUAACCGUAUAGGGGAGCCGCAGGGAAACCGAGUCUUAACUGGGCGUUAAGUUGCAGGGUAUAGACCCGAAACCCGGUGAUCUAGCCAUGGGCAGGUUGAAGGUUGGGUAACACUAACUGGAGGACCGAACCGACUAAUGUUGAAAAAUUAGCGGAUGACUUGUGGCUGGGGGUGAAAGGCCAAUCAAACCGGGAGAUAGCUGGUUCUCCCCGAAAGCUAUUUAGGUAGCGCCUCGUGAACUCAUCUUCGGGGGUAGAGCACUGUUUCGGCUAGGGGGUCAUCCCGACUUACCAACCCGAUGCAAACUACGAAUACCGAAGAAUGUUAUCACGGGAGACACACGGCGGGUGCUAACGUCCGUCGUGAAGAGGGAAACAACCCAGACCGCCAGCUAAGGUCCCAAAGUCAUGGUUAAGUGGGAAACGAUGUGGGAAGGCACAGACAGCCAGGAUGUUGGCUUAGAAGCAGCCAUCAUUUAAAGAAAGCGUAAUAGCUCACUGGUCGAGUCGGCCUGCGCGGAAGAUGUAACGGGGCUAAACCAUGCACCGAAGCUGCGGCAGCGACAC
This 1179-nucleotide ribosomal RNA is filed under the name Klebsiella pneumoniae. RNAcentral's name for it is "partial 23S ribosomal RNA". It matches the Rfam family "Bacterial large subunit ribosomal RNA", at positions 1 to 1214 of the family's 2925-position model. The record is from RNAcentral. Lineage: Bacteria; Pseudomonadati; Pseudomonadota; Gammaproteobacteria; Enterobacterales; Enterobacteriaceae.